RNAcentral lists this ribosomal RNA (602 nucleotides) under Terribacillus saccharophilus. RNAcentral's name for it is "bacterial LSU rRNA". It matches the Rfam family "Bacterial large subunit ribosomal RNA", at positions 1108 to 1708 of the family's 2925-position model. Lineage: Bacteria; Bacillati; Bacillota; Bacilli; Caryophanales; Bacillaceae. The record is from RNAcentral.
AGAAGCAGCCAUCAUUGAAAGAGUGCGUAAUAGCUCACUGGUCGAGUGACGCUGCGCCGAAAAUAUACCGGGGCUAAACACACCACCGAAGCUGCGGAUUGACAUCUACGAUGUCAGUGGUAGGAGAGCGUUCUAAGGGCAGUGAAGGUCGAUCGUGAGGACGGCUGGAGCGCUUAGAAGUGAGAAUGCCGGUAUGAGUAGCGAAAAAAGAGUGAGAAUCUCUUUCAUCGAAAGCCCAAGGUUUCCUGAGGAAGGCUCGUCCGCUCAGGGUUAGUCGGGGCCUAAGCCGAGGCCGAAAGGCGUAGGCGAUGGAUAACAGGUUGAUAUUCCUGUACCACCUAAAUCCGCUUGAACGAUGGGGGGACGCAGGAGGAUAAGGAAAGCGCGCUGCUGGUUAUGCGCGUCCAAGCCGUGAGGAAGUUGAGCAGGCAAAUCCACUCAACAUUAAUUCCAGGCGGUUAUGGGGAGGGAAAUUUAGUACCGAAGUUCCUGAUUUCACACUGCCAAGAAAAGCCUCUAGUGAGGAAAUAGGUGCCCGUACCGCAAACCGACACAGGUAGGCACGGUGAGUAACCGAAGAUGAUCGCGAGAACUCUCGUUAA